AUAGUUCCGGAUAUUCUUGGACCAUCGUUCACAAGUUUUUCUGUUUACGCUCCUGGCGUUUCAUUCAGCGGUCACUUCAGGUAGAACAAUUUGAUUGAAAGCUCUAACCCUGCGGCCAGAAGGUGGAACUACUGUGCCUUUGCAGAAACUCUACAUGAAGCUUAUCCACGAAUGGUAUGGAAAGAAAAGGAACUUCAGCAGCUUGGAUGGAUUGGGUUCAUGCGUUCAGUCAGCAGCUCAAGAAAGACCCGGAAAUUGCGAAUUAAACCACGUUUUGCACUGACCUCUAACACUUCUGAACAAACAACUGAUAUCUCGUGCGCUGAAGCACAGCGUGAGCUAAGGGCAAUUUCAGAAACUCUCACAGACCCAGAUCGAAUUGAUCUUUCAAGAAUGAACAUGUUGCUGCGUGCAACCAUUCAAAUACGGC
Rhipicephalus sanguineus (brown dog tick) is the source of this 430-nucleotide long non-coding RNA. RefSeq lists it as uncharacterized. Lineage: Eukaryota; Metazoa; Arthropoda; Arachnida; Ixodida; Ixodidae. The record is from RefSeq and is a predicted model, not a curated record. The transcript has 4 exons.